AUAAAACACAAGAGGCAGUGGGAUGCCAUGGAUGCAAAGCUGGGAAGACCCGGGUUCAAAUUGUAUUUCUGAGCUAUGGGAUGAUGAAUAAGUCACUUACUCUCUAAUCAGAGAAUCAAGAGAGGGAGAACUUAAAGGCUCUUAUAAGCCAUUUAGCCCAACCCGUUCAUUUUACUGAUGAGGCAACUGAGAUUCAUAGAAGUUAAGUGGCUUUUUCAAGGUCACACUGGGACCUUAUAGAAUUGGGAGUCCUGCUCAAGUCCUGAUGCUCCAAUCCUGAUGGUCUUUCCACCACACUGCACUACAGUGCCCCAAGCCACUCUCCAGGACAAGAAAUAUCAUGCGGGUUGUUCUUCUGUACUAGUGGAGAAACAGACCACCUGGAUGAAAUCUCAGAUUAGGACCAAAAAAGCGGACAGGCAGCUUCUCAUCAAUUGGUAUUUUUAAUUUUGUUUUUAUUUCAACUGUGUUGGGGGCAGAAUAAACACAGCAGUGAUUUUUAUUGGCCUAUAACUUUAGGAUCAUCCUACAUAAUGGAGUUUUAUGCAUCAAGUCUUCUCUGCACUUGGGGUUUACCCAUCAGUUCAGUGUUGUGAUUAACUGCUGGCUGGUAUCAGCUCUGUAAAAACUAACAGCUGACACUUAGAAAGAGCUUUAUUGUUGUAAAGUGCUUUGUAUUUGCUUAUUCCCAUCUUCUCCCUGCGCAUGUAAGGUAGGUCAUGCACAUAUUAUUAUUUUUAUUUUACAUAGAAGUAAACUGAGGCUCAGAGGGAAAGAAGCUUGUGUGGGAUCACACAGUUGUGACUUGUUGGGAACGUAACUUGAACUCAAGUUCUAAAACUACUAGAGCUCUUUCCACUACUUGGGUUGGCAGGGCCCCAAGACAUGGUAGCUGUACAGUAGAAUUCAGGAUUUAAAUAUUUAUUAUCCUUUCCUAACUACUGAAAAGACCCUUGUGGACAAGUAUACAAUGGCACUUUCACCAUUGGGCCGUAAUACAAGUCUAUAUUUGGGGCCAACACUGCAAAAUAUUUUUUUAAACUCCCUUCUCCAUUUCUAGGUGACUCAUUAGCUCCCUGAUGGAAGUAUUAACGAAGAGCUCAUUGACUCAUUGGGUCAUAGAUUUAGAGAACGACAGGACCUAAGGCAUCAUUAAUUUA
This 1160-nucleotide long non-coding RNA is filed under the name Sarcophilus harrisii (Tasmanian devil). RNAcentral describes it as "lncRNA (ENSSHAG00000025035.1)". Lineage: Eukaryota; Metazoa; Chordata; Mammalia; Dasyuromorphia; Dasyuridae. The record is from RNAcentral.